GUGGGGAAUAUUGGACAAUGGGCGAAAGCCUGAUCCAGCCAUGCCGCGUGUGUGAAGAAGGUCUUCGGAUUGUAAAGCACUUUAAGUUGGGAGGAAGGGCAUUAACCUAAUACGUUAGUGUUUUGACGUUACCGACAGAAUAAGCACCGGCUAACUUCGUGCCAGCAGCCGCGGUAAUACGAAGGGUGCAAGCGUUAAUCGGAAUUACUGGGCGUAAAGCGCGCGUAGGUCGUUCGUUAAGUUGGAUGUGAAAGCCCCGGGCUCAACCUGGGAACUGCAUCAAAAACUGGCGAGCUAGAGUACGGUAGAGGGUGGUGGAAUUGCCUGUGUAGCGGUGAAAUGCGUAGAUAUAGGAAGGAACACCAGUGGCGAAGGCGACCACCUGGACUGAUACUGACACUGAGGUGCGAAAGCGUGGGGAGCAAACAGGAUUAGAAACCCGAGUAGUCC
Molecule: ribosomal RNA, 450 nt
Filed under: uncultured bacterium
Lineage: Bacteria
Description: partial 16S ribosomal RNA
Rfam family: Bacterial small subunit ribosomal RNA
Source: RNAcentral